This 253-nucleotide ribosomal RNA is filed under the name uncultured bacterium. RNAcentral describes it as "partial 16S ribosomal RNA". It matches the Rfam family "Bacterial small subunit ribosomal RNA", at positions 524 to 776 of the family's 1533-position model. The record is from RNAcentral.
UACGUAGGGGGCUAGCGUUGUUCGGAUUUACUGGGCGUAAAGCGCACGUAGGCGGGUUGUUAAGUCAGGGGUGAAAUCCUGGAGCUCAACUCCAGAACUGCCUUUGAUACUGGCAACCUAGAGGCUGGAAGAGGUUAGUGGAAUUCCCAGUGUAGAGGUGAAAUUCGUAGAUAUUGGGAAGAACACCAGUGGCGAAGGCGGCUAACUGGUCCAGAUCUGACGCUGAGGUGCGAAAGCGUGGGGAGCAAACAGG